UACGGAGGAUGCAAGCGUUAUCCGGAAUGAUUGGGCGUAAAGCGUCCGCAGGGGGCUAUGUAAGUCUGCUGUUAAAGAGUGAGGCUCAACCUCAUAAGAGCAGUGGAAACUACAUGGCUAGAGUGCGUUCGGGGCAGAGGGAAUUCCUGGUGUAGCGGUGAAAUGCGUAGAGAUCAGGAAGAACACCGGUGGCGAAAGCGCUCUGCUAGGCCGCAACUGACACUCAUAGACGAAAGCUAGGGGAGCGAAUGGG
This 253-nucleotide ribosomal RNA is filed under the name uncultured bacterium. RNAcentral's name for it is "partial 16S ribosomal RNA". It matches the Rfam family "Bacterial small subunit ribosomal RNA", at positions 524 to 776 of the family's 1533-position model. The record is from RNAcentral.